Molecule: ribosomal RNA, 465 nt
Filed under: Vreelandella stevensii
Lineage: Bacteria; Pseudomonadati; Pseudomonadota; Gammaproteobacteria; Oceanospirillales; Halomonadaceae
Description: partial 16S ribosomal RNA
Rfam family: Bacterial small subunit ribosomal RNA
Source: RNAcentral
CCUACGGGAGGCAGCAGUGGGGAAUAUUGGACAAUGGGGGGAACCCUGAUCCAGCCAUGCCGCGUGUGUGAAGAAGGCCCUCGGGUUGUAAAGCACUUUCAGUGAGGAAGAACGCCUGGUGGUUAAUACCCAUCAGGAAAGACAUCACUCACAGAAGAAGCACCGGCUAACUCCGUGCCAGCAGCCGCGGUAAUACGGAGGGUGCGAGCGUUAAUCGGAAUUACUGGGCGUAAAGCGCGCGUAGGUGGCUUGAUAAGCCGGUUGUGAAAGCCCCGGGCUCAACCUGGGAACGGCAUCCGGAACUGUCAAGCUAGAGUGCAGGAGAGGAAGGUAGAAUUCCCGGUGUAGCGGUGAAAUGCGUAGAGAUCGGGAGGAAUACCAGUGGCGAAGGCGGUCUUCUGGACUGACACUGACACUGAGGUGCGAAAGCGUGGGUAGCAAACAGGAUUAGAUACCCCAGUAGUC